CCUACGGGAGGCAGCAGUGGGGAAUAUUGCGCAAUGGGCGAAAGCCUGACGCAGCGACGCCGCGUGAGGGAUGAAGGUCUUCGGAUCGUAAACCUCUGUCAGCAGGGAAGAACGGUCACUGUGCUAAUCAGCAGUGCAUUGACGGUACCUGCAAAGGAAGCACCGGCUAACUCCGUGCCAGCAGCCGCGGUAAUACGGAGGGUGCGAGCGUUAAUCGGAAUUACUGGGCGUAAAGCGCUCGUAGGCGGUAUGUCAAGUCAAGGGUGAAAUCCCCGCGCUCAACGUGGGAACUGCCUUUGAAACUGGCAAACUGGAGUGUGUGAGAGGAUAGUGGAAUGCCAGGUGUAGGAGUGAAAUCCGUAGAUAUCUGGAGGAACAGCAGUGGCGAAGGCGACUAUCUGGCACAUAACUGACGCUGAGGAGCGAAAGCGAGGGUAGCAAACAGGAUUAGAUACCCUUGUAGUC
This 465-nucleotide ribosomal RNA is filed under the name uncultured bacterium. RNAcentral describes it as "partial 16S ribosomal RNA". It matches the Rfam family "Bacterial small subunit ribosomal RNA", at positions 338 to 795 of the family's 1533-position model. The record is from RNAcentral.